Long non-coding RNA from Sebastes umbrosus (honeycomb rockfish), 171 nucleotides. RefSeq lists it as uncharacterized. The transcript has 4 exons. Lineage: Eukaryota; Metazoa; Chordata; Actinopteri; Perciformes; Sebastidae. The record is from RefSeq and is a predicted model, not a curated record.
GACGUCUCUUUCCCAAUGUAAGUCUAUGGGAAAAAGUCUUUUUGGGCCCAAUGGCAUCACGUGACGGACACGGAAGUUGUAGUACCACCGUUUGGCCACUACGAAAAUUGGGAUCAACGACCGGCGUUCUUCCUGGGGGGCUUGAUAGGGGAUAGGAAUGUGAAGUCACCG